Molecule: long non-coding RNA, 244 nt
Filed under: Nicotiana benthamiana
Lineage: Eukaryota; Viridiplantae; Streptophyta; Magnoliopsida; Solanales; Solanaceae
Description: long non-coding RNA (NBEN_LNC036859)
Source: RNAcentral
CCAGAGAUAGGCUCAUAGGACCAGGACAUGCCGGAGAUGGCCGUGAAACUUAAAUCGGAGACAAUCUGAACGAAAACCUUCAAGGUCAGACUUGAAUCUUCCAGUAGCAGGUGUACAAGAGCACAUGGAGAUGAGUACAGGCCACCCAGGGCCUGGGGAAGCCAUAGAUUCCAGUGAAACAUAGUGGAAGUCGGUAGGAGAAGGUUAGAGUUUCGGAGGGGCUAGAGAGAGUUUGAGACAAAGG